This 713-nucleotide ribosomal RNA is filed under the name uncultured Bacilli bacterium. RNAcentral's name for it is "bacterial SSU rRNA". It matches the Rfam family "Bacterial small subunit ribosomal RNA", at positions 60 to 743 of the family's 1533-position model. The record is from RNAcentral. Lineage: Bacteria; Bacillati; Bacillota; Bacilli.
AGUCGAACGCUUCUUUUUCCACCGGAGCUUGCUCCACCGGAAAAAGAAGAGUGGCGAACGGGUGAGUAACACGUGGGUAACCUGCCCAUCAGAAGGGGAUAACACUUGGAAACAGGUGCUAAUACCGUAUAACAAUCAAAACCGCAUGGUUUUGAUUUGAAAGGCGCUUUCGGGUGUCGCUGAUGGAUGGACCCGCGGUGCAUUAGCUAGUUGGUGAGGUAACGGCUCACCAAGGCCACGAUGCAUAGCCGACCUGAGAGGGUGAUCGGCCACAUUGGGACUGAGACACGGCCCAAACUCCUACGGGAGGCAGCAGUAGGGAAUCUUCGGCAAUGGACGAAAGUCUGACCGAGCAACGCCGCGUGAGUGAAGAAGGUUUUCGGAUCGUAAAACUCUGUUGUUAGAGAAGAACAAGGAUGAGAGUAAAAUGUUCAUCCCUUGACGGUAUCUAACCAGAAAGCCACGGCUAACUACGUGCCAGCAGCCGCGGUAAUACGUAGGUGGCAAGCGUUGUCCGGAUUUAUUGGGCGUAAAGCGAGCGCAGGCGGUUUCUUAAGUCUGAUGUGAAAGCCCCCGGCUCAACCGGGGAGGGUCAUUGGAAACUGGGAGACUUGAGUGCAGAAGAGGAGAGUGGAAUUCCAUGUGUAGCGGUGAAAUGCGUAGAUAUAUGGAGGAACACCAGUGGCGAAGGCGGCUCUCUGGUCUGUAACUGA